RNAcentral lists this ribosomal RNA (499 nucleotides) under uncultured bacterium. RNAcentral describes it as "bacterial SSU rRNA". It matches the Rfam family "Bacterial small subunit ribosomal RNA", at positions 501 to 1000 of the family's 1533-position model. The record is from RNAcentral.
CUACGUGCCAGCAGCCGCGGUAAUACGUAGGGCGCGAGCGUUGUCCGGAAUUAUUGGGCGUAAAGAGCUUGUAGGCGGUUUGUCGCGUCUGCUGUGAAAGGCCGGGGCUUAACUCCGUGUAUUGCAGUGGGUACGGGCAGACUAGAGUGCAGUAGGGGAGACUGGAAUUCCUGGUGUAGCGGUGGAAUGCGCAGAUAUCAGGAGGAACACCGAUGGCGAAGGCAGGUCUCUGGGCUGUAACUGACGCUGAGAAGCGAAAGCAUGGGGAGCGAACAGGAUUAGAUACCCUGGUAGUCCACGCUGUAAACGAUGUCGAUUUGGGGGUUGAACUUUAGGUUUGGCGCCCGUAGCUAACGUGAUAAAUCGACCGCCUGGGGAGUACGGCCGCAAGGUUAAAACUCAAAUGAAUUGACGGGGGCCCGCACAAGCGGUGGAGCAUGUGGUUUAAUUCGAUGCAACGCGAAGAACCUUACCUACUCUUGACAUCCAGAGAACAUUC